GGAAGCGUGGCAGAGCGGCCGAUUGCACCCGCCUUGAAAGCGGACGUCCAGAGAUGGACCGGGGGUUCGAAUCCCCCCGCUUCCGCCA
RNAcentral lists this transfer RNA (88 nucleotides) under Actinomycetospora sp. NBRC 106378. Its description in RNAcentral is "tRNA-Ser". It matches the Rfam family "tRNA". From Rfam's summary of the family: Transfer RNA (tRNA) molecules are approximately 80 nucleotides in length. Their secondary structure includes four short double-helical elements and three loops (D, anti-codon, and T loops). Further hydrogen bonds mediate the characteristic L-shaped molecular structure. tRNAs have two regions of fundamental functional importance: the anti-codon, which is responsible for specific mRNA codon recognition, and the 3' end, to which the tRNAs corresponding amino acid is attached (by aminoacyl-tRNA synthetases). tRNAs cope with the degeneracy of the genetic code in two manners: having more than one tRNA (with a specific anti-codon) for a particular amino acid; and 'wobble' base-pairing, i.e. permitting non-standard base-pairing at the 3rd anti-codon position. The record is from RNAcentral. Lineage: Bacteria; Bacillati; Actinomycetota; Actinomycetes; Pseudonocardiales; Pseudonocardiaceae.